GGAUAUGAGGGAGAUCUGGCUGCGACAUCUGUCACCCCAUUGAUCGCCAGAGUUGAUUCAGCUGAUCUGGCUGGCUAGGUGGGUGUCCCCUUCCUCCCUCACCCCUCCAUGUGCGUCCCUACUGAAGCUGCGUGCUUGGUCAAAGAGGACGGCUUUCCCUGAUAGAGACAACGGGUCUUCAGGUUAUACAGAGUAGCUGCGCUCCCCUGCUAGAACCUCCAAACAAGCUCUCAAGGUCCAAAGUUAAGCAGCAGGUGAGAAGUUGGGAAAAGAGGCAAGAUAGAUUGUUUCGACAAUGUCGAAAUGGCUUCUCU
RNAcentral lists this small nuclear RNA (314 nucleotides) under Erinaceus europaeus (western European hedgehog). RNAcentral's name for it is "7SK RNA". It matches the Rfam family "7SK RNA". From Rfam's summary of the family: 7SK was discovered as an abundant small nuclear RNA in the mid-70s but a possible function has only recently been suggested. Two independent studies have found that 7SK RNA binds the CDK9/cyclin T complex (known as elongation factor P-TEFb). P-TEFb activates transcription by phosphorylating the C-terminal domain of RNA polymerase II. The record is from Rfam by way of RNAcentral. Lineage: Eukaryota; Metazoa; Chordata; Mammalia; Eulipotyphla; Erinaceidae.